This 497-nucleotide ribosomal RNA is filed under the name uncultured bacterium. RNAcentral describes it as "partial 16S ribosomal RNA". It matches the Rfam family "Bacterial small subunit ribosomal RNA", at positions 28 to 507 of the family's 1533-position model. The record is from RNAcentral.
GAUGAACGCUGGCGGCGUGCCUAAUACAUGCAAGUCGAGCGAACAGAUGAGGAGCUUGCUCCUCUGACGUUAGCGGCGGACGGGUGAGUAACACGUGGAUAACCUACCUAUAAGACUGGGAUAACUUCGGGAAACCGGAGCUAAUACCGGAUAAUAUAUUGAACCGCAUGGUGCAAUAGUGAAAGACGGUUUUGCUGUCACUUAUAGAUGGAUCCGCGCCGCAUUAGCUAGUUGGUAAGGUAACGGCUUACCAAGGCAACGAUGCGUAGCCGACCUGAGAGGGUGAUCGGCCACACUGGAACUGAGACACGGUCCAGACUCCUACGGGAGGCAGCAGUAGGGAAUCUUCCGCAAUGGGCGAAAGCCUGACGGAGCAACGCCGCGUGAGUGAUGAAGGUCUUCGGAUCGUAAAACUCUGUUAUUAGGGAAGAACAAAUGUGUAAGUAACUAUGCACGUCUUGACGGUACCUAAUCAGAAAGCCACGGCUAACUACGUG